Molecule: long non-coding RNA, 486 nt
Filed under: Vulpes vulpes (red fox)
Lineage: Eukaryota; Metazoa; Chordata; Mammalia; Carnivora; Canidae
Description: lncRNA (ENSVVUG00000019410.1)
Source: RNAcentral
GGGGUCUCUCAGCUGGAGCUCCCUGUGGUAGUUUUAAAUAUGACCCUAACAUUCUUUGAUACUCAGUACCUGAGAAGCUUGAUUUAUAAGAUGGAAAUCCUACCUUGAACUUAAGCCUGAUACUACAGUGAGAUGGGAUUUGAAAGUUCUUGAAUGUCUCCAGGAUGUCAGUCACCACUUGACAUGAAGACUUGAGGCCUCUGAGAACUUUGUUGGGUGCUCUGCCCCCGCCAUCUAAGAGUUGAAGGCUUAAUUAUGGUGCACUGUGGAGGAAGGAGAUAAGGCAAAGAAUGGAGCCCACCACCUAAUGAAGACCAACCACAUCCCUUCCUAUUUUGGAGAAGUCUCUCCCAGGGUCAAGUGAGGAAGGAACCACUCCCAUACAGACUACCUUCACUGAGAAGGUGGAGGAACAACAGAGAGAAAAGAAGUCUAUAAGGUCUGCUUAGGCCUAGAGCUGAGAGACAAUGACGUUCCACAUUCAAG